This is a long non-coding RNA of Mauremys reevesii (Reeves's turtle), 1785 nucleotides long. RefSeq lists it as uncharacterized. The transcript is spliced from 4 exons. Lineage: Eukaryota; Metazoa; Chordata; Testudines; Geoemydidae. The record is from RefSeq and is a predicted model, not a curated record.
CCACGUGUCUGCGCGGUGAGAUCAUUAACUCUUCACCCUGGGCACAAGCGGCAUUCGAGUAAGGUGGGAAGCCAGCCGUCCGGUGCCAGAACGGGGCCAAGGAACUGAAGCGUGCCAGUGGGUGCUGUGCCUCAAGCUGCCAUGGCACUGGGGAAGCAGCCCUCCUGCUGCCCAGAGGAGAUGUCAAGUUACAGGCGUGGGCACCGGAAGAUCUGUGCAAUGAAGUGUGAUGUUGGGUCAUGCAGGGAGUCUGCUGCAGAGCUGAGAACUGAACUCGGCCCUCCUGAGUCCCACGCCCAGCCCCAAAGCAGCCUUCCCCUCUUCGGCAGCCCGUGUAUUAGCACAGCGCUGGCCCUUGCCCGUGCCGCUCAGCCAGGCCCAGGGUCGUUGGAGUCGGGGAGGACGUUGCAGUUGAUGGGCCAGAGGAUGCUGAGGAGGCUGAGGGCCUGCUGGCAGCGCUGCUCCGCCGUCAGGCACACGGAGCGGCAGGGCUGCAGGACGCCCCCGUCCGGCGUGCACUUGGGCACGAAGAGGCUGCAGAUCAGCAGGUGCAGGUGCUGGUAGCAGGGGAGCCCCAUCAGGACCUGCGGGGAGACGGGGAGGCAGUGAGCACCACAGGGCCUGGGGCACCGAUAUUUGAGGGGCUGGCUUCCCCAUUUAUGGGUGCAUUUCCCCUGGAUACCCUGUGCCCCCUCCUUCCACCCAAAGCAAAUUCUCCACCCAGCCUGCUUGCUUCCCACUGGGUUUGCUUCCCACCCAGCUGACAAAUCCCCGGCUGGGCAGUGCAGUAUCCCCCGCGGCCCCCUGUGCUGGGCUCACCUUGUAGUCUCGGAGCAUGGUGGCCGCCCCCUGCUGGUCUGGGAUGGUCAGCCAGAUGUUGGGGAAGGAGGUGGUGUUGUAGCUGAGGCCCAAGCACAUCUCCACUUGGAUCUGCUGGCAGGAGGACUCUGCAGGAGGAGGGCAGGUGAUACAGGUGGCAGCUGUAUCUAAGCUGGAGGGAUGCACUGGCUAGGACUUGCAAAGAACGGUUGCAGGGCCCAUGGGCUCCAAAAUCUGGAUCCCGGCCCGGCAGGUGCCUCAGAGUUGGCGGUCACAUCAGUGUGUAUGGACAGAUAUUCCCUGGGUGCAGGGCUGAGACCUACCAAACUCAUUCCUCUUGUGACCUGAACUGCCUGAGGGAAACAGGUGGAUAAGGUCCCCCCACCCCAUAAACCAAGUGUUGGUCAUUGCAGGAGCUGGGUUGAGCUAGGGGUUUCACUCACCAAAGGACGGGGGUGAGACACUUGUGCAGUUGAAUUCAUCACUCCCAUCCGGGCAGUCGUGCCAGCCAUCACACACCGACUCCCGUGCCUGGCACUCCCCGUUGCUGCAGGAGAACUCCGAGGGGCUGCACGUUUCUUGGCGGAUGAGCGAGAAAGAUGUCGGAAUGAGCAGAGCCCCCGAGGUCUGGGUAUGUCUGACGCCUCGCUGCCUGGGGCCCCGGGCCCCUGGAGAGUCCCAGAAGACAACAGCCACUCCAACUGGAUGGACACUGGGCACCUAGCAACUAACGACCAUGGGUGCCAGCAGGGGAACGAGGACAAAGGACGGAGGAGGGGCCGGGUGGGGUUGCUAAGUGGGGGGCUGCAGGAAUUGGUGGAGACAUUCCUGGACGGGGAUUAAAGAGGGGUCAGAGGGCUCUGAGCCGGAUGCAGAUGCUCUGUGCUGUAACUUUCUGUUCCCUGUGUUAACCAAGGGCUGCCGACGCUGUGUUCCAGACAUCUAAUAAACCUUGUUGCUGUUACA